GUGCUUCAGCAGCUCCUUGCCCAGCGCGACACCUUGUUUCAAUACAUCCUCUCGUUCACUGUCUUUGAUAGGUUUCUUUGCUUCGUCCUUGAGAGCUCUGUACCUUUCCUCUAGUGAAGCACAGCCUUUCAAAAUGCCACAACGAGCACUGGCCACGGUUUUCUUGAAGACUAUCUUGGGAACAAGGAAGCUAUCAGGGAUCAGAUCAGGCUUUGAAACCAGCAGUAGCUGAUGACGGCAGGCGAUGUCAGGAACCGGGUACCUGUUUCAAGACGAUUUGUGAUUGCUAUAUUGCCAGAUCCAAAUCAACCUCCUUGUAAUGGAGAGGACGAUGCCGGAAGGUCAUAUCUAUGCUCAUUGGGGCCCAUGAUGACUCUAAAUAAUCCUUGACGAGGUCGUCUUCUUGGGUCUUUAUUGUUUAUAUAGAAGCACUCAGGAUGCAGGCAUGCGACACCGACAAACAAAUGCUGGGGCCGCGAGCAAUGAUGGCAUGGCAUUGGAUGGGUGGGCAUGGGGGCGAUGGCGAUGGCACUAGGCCUGGGUCUAGCACGAUAUCACACCCUCACUGUCUAUGGCCACCAGGAUCCAUGAUGGUCGAAUCUGCUUUGUUGUGAUAUCGUGCUAGGACACACCAGGAUCCAUGAAGACAAGGGCAAUGGAGGAAAGCAGGUGCCAACCCAACACAACCUGACCAGAUUCUUUGUCUACAAGUCCUAUGUGCAAAAUAAUAGUAGUACAGUAUAAUAUACCCAUCCUCGGUCCUGUUCCUUUAUUAGGUUGAUCCAUUGAUGACUCCUACUUUUGGUUUUUAUACUAGUUAUAAGCUCCUAGGUAUUUGUGUCACCUCUAUGUAACGAAAGAAUCAAUUUCUAGACUUGUCCUAAGUCAGAAUUUUUAAACUUUGAUCAAAUUUCUAGAAAAAAUACUAAAAUU
Molecule: long non-coding RNA, 933 nt
Organism: Sorghum bicolor (sorghum)
Lineage: Eukaryota; Viridiplantae; Streptophyta; Magnoliopsida; Poales; Poaceae
Exons: 3
Source: RefSeq, a predicted model, not a curated record